This 481-nucleotide ribosomal RNA is filed under the name uncultured bacterium. RNAcentral describes it as "partial 16S ribosomal RNA". It matches the Rfam family "Bacterial small subunit ribosomal RNA", at positions 28 to 507 of the family's 1533-position model. The record is from RNAcentral.
GAUGAACGCUGGCGGCGUGCUUAACACAUGCAAGUCGAACGAAGCACUCUAGUUGAUUUCCUACGGGACUGAUGAUUUUGUGACUGAGUGGCGGACGGGUGGGUAACGAGUGGGUAACAUGCCUUGUACAGGGGGAUAACAGCCGGAAACGGCUGCUAAUACCGCAGAAGCGCACGGCGUCGCAUGGGGCAGGGAGAAAAACGCCGGUGGUAGAAGAGGGACCCGGGUUGGAUGAGCUAGUGGGUGAGGUAACGGCCCACCAAGGCGGCGAGCCAUCGCAGGCCUGAGAGGGUGCCCGGCCAGAUUGGGACUGAGACACGGCCCCAACUCCUGCGGGAGGCAGCAGUGGGGAAUAUUGCACAGUGGGCGUAAGGCUGAUGCAGCGACGCCGCGUGAGCGAAGAAGUGUUUCUGUAUGUAAUGCUCUAUCAGCAGGGCAGAUAAUGACGGUACCUGACUAAGAAGCACCGGCUAACUACGUG